CAGUAGCCGCGGUAAUACGUAGGGUGCAAGCGUUAUCCGGAAUUAUUGGGCGUAAAGAGCUCGUAGGCGGUUUGUCACGUCUGCUGUGAAAACGCGAGGCUCAACCUCGCGCCUGCAGUGGGUACGGGCAGACUAGAGUGCGGUAGGGGAGAUUGGAAUUCCUGGUGUAGCGGUGGAAUGCGCAGAUAUCAGGAGGAACACCGAUGGCGAAGGCAGAUCUCUGGGCCGUAACUGACGCUGAGGAGCGAAAGGGUGGGGAGCAAACAGGCUUAGAUACCCCCGUAGUCCCUGUCUCUUAUAC
Molecule: ribosomal RNA, 301 nt
Filed under: uncultured bacterium
Lineage: Bacteria
Description: partial 16S ribosomal RNA
Rfam family: Bacterial small subunit ribosomal RNA
Source: RNAcentral